AGUGAACGCUGGCGGUAGGCCUAAUACAUGCAAGUCGAACGGCCGCACAGUAAGAGCUUGCUCUUACGGGUGGCGAGUGGCGGACGGGUGAGGAAUACAUCGGAAUCUACUUUUUCGUGGGGGAUAACGUAGGGAAACUUACGCUAAUAUAGCAUACGACCUACGGGUUAAAGCAGUGGAUCUUCGGACCUUGCUCGUUUGAAUUAGCCGAUGUCUGAUUAUCUAGUUUGUGGGGUAAAGGCCCAACAAGGCGACGAUCUGUAGCUGGUAUGAGAGGAGGAUCACCCACACUGGAACUGAGAAAGGCUCAAGCCUCCUAGGGGGGGCAGCAGUGGGAAAUAUUGGACAAUGAGGAAAAGCCGAAUGCUGCAAUACGGGGUAGGUGAAGAAGGCCUUCGGGUGGUAAAGUCCGUUGGAUGGGAAAAAAGGGUGGCAGGUUGAUAACUCGAUGUUGUGACGGUACCCAAAGAGUAAGCACCGGCUAACUUCGUG
RNAcentral lists this ribosomal RNA (492 nucleotides) under uncultured bacterium. RNAcentral describes it as "partial 16S ribosomal RNA". It matches the Rfam family "Bacterial small subunit ribosomal RNA", at positions 29 to 507 of the family's 1533-position model. The record is from RNAcentral.